Molecule: unclassified non-coding RNA, 245 nt
Filed under: plant metagenome
Description: partial contains small subunit ribosomal RNA and internal transcribed spacer 1
Rfam family: Eukaryotic small subunit ribosomal RNA (bases 1-46)
Source: RNAcentral
AAGUCGUAACAAGGUUUCCGUAGGUGAACCUGCGGAAGGAUCAUUACACUCAGUAGUUUUCUACUGCUCAGGGAGAGCGGAAAGUUUCCAGUUUGCUUUGGCAGCUGGCAUACAAGUACGCUCUCUGUCUGAUACCCUUGUCUUUUUGCGUACUCAAGUUUCCUCGGUGGGCUUGCCUGCCGGUUGGACAACCUUAUAACCUUUUUAAUUUUCAAUCAGCGUCUGAAUAAUUAUAAUAAUUACAA